GAUGAACGCUGACAGAAUGCUUAACACAUGCAAGUCAACUUGAAUUUGGGUUUUUAACUUAGGUUUGGGUGGCGGACGGGUGAGUAACGCGUAAAGAACUUGCCUCACAGUUAGGGACAACAUUUGGAAACGAAUGCUAAUACCUAAUAUUAUGAUAAUAGGGCAUCCUAUGAUUAUGAAAGCUAUAAGCGCUGUGAGAGAGCUUUGCGUCCCAUUAGCUAGUUGGAGAGGUAACGGCUCACCAAGGCGAUGAUGGGUAGCCGGCCUGAGAGGGUGAUCGGCCACAAGGGGACUGAGACACGGCCCUUACUCCUACGGGAGGCAGCAGUGGGGAAUAUUGGACAAUGGACCAAGAGUCUGAUCCAGCAAUUCUGUGUGCACGAUGAAGUUUUUCGGAAUGUAAAGUGCUUUCAGUUGGGAAGAAAGAAAUGACGGUACCAACAGAAGAAGUGACGGCUAAAUACGUGCCAGCAGCCGCGGUAAUACGUAUGUCACGAGCGUUAUCCGGAUUUAUUGGGCGUAAAGCGCGUCUAGGUGGUUAUGUAAGUCUGAUGUGAAAAUGCAGGGCUCAACUCUGUAUUGCGUUGGAAACUGUAUAACUAGAGUACUGGAGAGGUAAGCGGAACUACAAGUGUAGAGGUGAAAUUCGUAGAUAUUUGUAGGAAUGCCGAUGGGGAAGCCAGCUUACUGGACAGAUACUGACGCUGAAGCGCGAAAGCGUGGGUAGCAAACAGG
This 735-nucleotide ribosomal RNA is filed under the name uncultured Fusobacterium sp. Its description in RNAcentral is "bacterial SSU rRNA". It matches the Rfam family "Bacterial small subunit ribosomal RNA", at positions 28 to 776 of the family's 1533-position model. The record is from RNAcentral. Lineage: Bacteria; Fusobacteriati; Fusobacteriota; Fusobacteriia; Fusobacteriales; Fusobacteriaceae.